AAAUUGAAGAGUUUGAUCAUGGCUCAGAUUGAACGCUGGCGGCAGGCCUAACACAUGCAAGUCGAACGGUAACAGGAAGCAGCUUGCUGCUUCGCUGACGAGUGGCGGACGGGUGAGUAAUGUCUGGGAAACUGCCUGAUGGAGGGGGAUAACUACUGGAAACGGUGGCUAAUACCGCAUAACGUCGCAAGACCAAAGAGGGGGACCUUCGGGCCUCUUGCCAUCAGAUGUGCCCAGAUGGGAUUAGCUAGUUGGUGAGGUAACGGCUCACCAAGGCGACGAUCCCUAGCUGGUCUGAGAGGAUGACCAGCCACACUGGAACUGAGACACGGUCCAGACUCCUACGGGAGGCAGCAGUGGGGAAUAUUGCACAAUGGGCGCAAGCCUGAUGCAGCCAUGCCGCGUGUAUGAAGAAGGCCUUCGGGUUGUAAAGUACUUUCAGCGGGGAGGAAGGUGUUGUGGUUAAUAACCGCAGCAAUUGACGUUACCCGCAGAAGAAGCACCGGCUAACUCCGUGCCAGCAGCCGCGGUAAUACGGAGGGUGCAAGCGUUAAUCGGAAUUACUGGGCGUAAAGCGCACGCAGGCGGUCUGUCAAGUCGGAUGUGAAAUCCCCGGGCUCAACCUGGGAACUGCAUUCGAAACUGGCAGGCUUGAGUCUUGUAGAGGGGGUAGAAUUCCAGGUGUAGCGGUGAAAUGCGUAGAGAUCUGGAGGAAUACCGGUGGCGAAGGCGGCCCCCUGGACAAAGACUGACGCUCAGGUGCGAAAGCGUGGGGAGCAAACAGGAUUAGAUACCCUGGUAGUCCACGCCGUAAACGAUGUCUACUUGGAGGUUGUGCCCUUGAGGCGUGGCUUCCGGAGCUAACGCGUUAAGUAGACCGCCUGGGGAGUACGGCCGCAAGGUUAAAACUCAAAUGAAUUGACGGGGGCCCGCACAAGCGGUGGAGCAUGUGGUUUAAUUCGAUGCAACGCGAAGAACCUUACCUGGUCUUGACAUCCACAGAAGAAUCCAGAGAUGGAUUGGUGCCUUCGGGAACUGUGAGACAGGUGCUGCAUGGCUGUCGUCAGCUCGUGUUGUGAAAUGUUGGGUUAAGUCCCGCAACGAGCGCAACCCUUAUCCUUUGUUGCCAGCGAUUAGGUCGGGAACUCAAAGGAGACUGCCAGUGAUAAACUGGAGGAAGGUGGGGAUGACGUCAAGUCAUCAUGGCCCUUACGACCAGGGCUACACACGUGCUACAAUGGCGCAUACAAAGAGAAGCGACCUCGCGAGAGCAAGCGGACCUCAUAAAGUGCGUCGUAGUCCGGAUUGGAGUCUGCAACUCGACUCCAUGAAGUCGGAAUCGCUAGUAAUCGUGGAUCAGAAUGCCACGGUGAAUACGUUCCCGGGCCUUGUACACACCGCCCGUCACACCAUGGGAGUGGGUUGCAAAAGAAGUAGGUAGCUUAACCUUCGGGAGGGCGCUUACCACUUUGUGAUUCAUGACUGGGGUGAAGUCGUAACAAGGUAACCGUAGGGGAACCUGCGGUUGGAUCACCUCCUUACCUUAAAGAAGC
Molecule: ribosomal RNA, 1553 nt
Filed under: Salmonella enterica subsp. enterica serovar Typhimurium var. 5-
Lineage: Bacteria; Pseudomonadati; Pseudomonadota; Gammaproteobacteria; Enterobacterales; Enterobacteriaceae
Description: bacterial SSU rRNA
Rfam family: Bacterial small subunit ribosomal RNA
Source: RNAcentral